Molecule: small nucleolar RNA, 91 nt
Organism: Caenorhabditis elegans
Lineage: Eukaryota; Metazoa; Nematoda; Chromadorea; Rhabditida; Rhabditidae
Source: Ensembl
CCAUCUCAAUUGUUUAAUGUUUCCAUUUCAUUCUAUUCGUUUGUUUUCUUUUUCUUUGCCAUCUGAAAAUACAAUGCACAGAUUUGUUAAA